This 648-nucleotide ribosomal RNA is filed under the name uncultured Bacillus sp. Its description in RNAcentral is "bacterial SSU rRNA". It matches the Rfam family "Bacterial small subunit ribosomal RNA", at positions 95 to 729 of the family's 1533-position model. Lineage: Bacteria; Bacillati; Bacillota; Bacilli; Caryophanales; Bacillaceae. The record is from RNAcentral.
GCGGCGGACGGGUGAGUAACACGUGGGCAACCUGCCUGUAAGACUGGGAUAACUUCGGGAAACCGGAGCUAAUACCGGAUAACUCUUCGGACCAUAUGGUCUGAAGAUAAAAGAUGGUUUCGGCUAUCACUUACAGAUGGGCCCGCGGCGCAUUAGCUAGUUGGUGAGGUAACGGCUCACCAAGGCGACGAUGCGUAGCCGACCUGAGAGGGUGAUCGGCCACACUGGGACUGAGACACGGCCCAGACUCCUACGGGAGGCAGCAGUAGGGAAUCUUCCGCAAUGGACGAAAGUCUGACGGAGCAACGCCGCGUGAGCGAUGAAGGUUUUCGGAUCGUAAAGCUCUGUUGUUAGGGAAGAACAAGUACCAGAGUAACUGCUGGUACCUUGACGGUACCUAACCAGAAAGCCACGGCUAACUACGUGCCAGCAGCCGCGGUAAUACGUAGGUGGCAAGCGUUGUCCGAAAUUAUUGGGCGUAAAGCGCGCGCAGGUGGUUUCUUAAGUCUGAUGUGAAAGCCCACGGCUCAACCGUGGAGGGUCAUUGGAAACUGGGGAACUUGAGUGCAGAAGAGGAAAGUGGAAUUCCAAGUGUAGCGGUGAAAUGCGUAGAGAUUUGGAGGAACACCAGUGGCGAAGGCGACUUUC